This 266-nucleotide ribosomal RNA is filed under the name uncultured bacterium. RNAcentral describes it as "partial 16S ribosomal RNA". It matches the Rfam family "Bacterial small subunit ribosomal RNA", at positions 526 to 779 of the family's 1533-position model. The record is from RNAcentral.
CGUAGGGGCGGAGCGUUGUCCGGAAUUAUUGGGGCGUAAAGACGCGCGCAGGCGGUCCCUUAAGUCUGAUGUGAAAAGCCCACGGCUUAACCGUGGAGGGGUCAUUGGAAACUAGGGGGGCGUUGAGUGCAGAAGAAGGAGAGCGGAAAUUCCACGUGUAGCGGUGAAAAUGCGUAGAGAUGUGGAGGAACACCAGUGGCGAAGGCGGCUCUCUGGUCUGUAACUGACGCUGAAGGCGCGAAAGACGUGGGGGAGCAAACAGGAUU